RNAcentral lists this long non-coding RNA (262 nucleotides) under Gossypium raimondii (Peruvian cotton). RNAcentral's name for it is "long non-coding RNA (GRAI_LNC001537)". Lineage: Eukaryota; Viridiplantae; Streptophyta; Magnoliopsida; Malvales; Malvaceae. The record is from RNAcentral.
ACAUAACCAACAUCACCACUAAAGCCAUUGUAGUUAUCAGCCCACAAAAAUACAAACUUUUUUACUCCUACAAUAAUGGGCAUUCUUCAUUGCUAAAACCAUUUGUUUCUCCAUUGAUUUCAUCUCUAACUUUACUUGCAAAACUAAAGAUUCUUCCUCACCUCUACCAUUCUCUUUUUUCAACUCCUCCAUCAUGCCAUUUAAAAAACGCACAAUCUCCAACCUUAUAAUUCUGGCAAUUGAAAAACCUCCUCUCGAUAUU